GGUGGCUCAAUGGUAGAGCGCUUGCCUUGCAUGCAUAAGGCCCUGGGUUCGAUGCCCCAGCACCA
RNAcentral lists this transfer RNA (65 nucleotides) under Dipodomys ordii (Ord's kangaroo rat). It matches the Rfam family "tRNA". Rfam says of the family: Transfer RNA (tRNA) molecules are approximately 80 nucleotides in length. Their secondary structure includes four short double-helical elements and three loops (D, anti-codon, and T loops). Lineage: Eukaryota; Metazoa; Chordata; Mammalia; Rodentia; Heteromyidae. The record is from Rfam by way of RNAcentral.